CCCUUAGAUGUCCUGGGCCGCACGCGUGCUACACUGAUGCAUACAGCGAGUACUCCCAGCUCCGAGAGGCUGCUGGUAAUCAGCAAUAUGCAUCGCGAUGGGGAUAGAUCUUUGGAAUUAUAGAUCUUGAACGAGGAAUUCCUAGUAAUCGCAGGUCAUCACCCUGCGUUGACUAAGUCCCUGCCCUUUGUACACACCGCCCGUCGCUCCUACCGAUUUCGAGUGAUCCGGUGAAUCAUUCGGACCGCGGCCCCUAGGCAUGCGGAAAGUCUAGUAAACCAUAUCACUUAGAGGAAGGAGAAGUCGUAACA
This 311-nucleotide ribosomal RNA is filed under the name uncultured eukaryote. RNAcentral describes it as "partial 18S ribosomal RNA". It matches the Rfam family "Eukaryotic small subunit ribosomal RNA", at positions 1470 to 1796 of the family's 1831-position model. The record is from RNAcentral.